CCUACGGGAGGCAGCAGUGAGGAAUAUUGGGCAAUGGACGAGAGUCUGAACCAGCCAAGUAGCGUGAAGGAUGAAGGCCCGAUGGGUUGUAAACUUCUUUUAUAGGGGAAUAAAAUGUUCCACGUGUGGGAUGUUGUAUGUACCAUAUGAAUAAGGAAAGGCUAACUCCGUGCCAGCAGCCGCGGUAAUACGGAGGAUCCGAGCGUUAUCCGGAUUUAGUGGGGUUAAAGGGAGCGUAGGUGGAUUGUUAAGUCAGUUGUGAAAGUUUGCGGCUCAACCGUAAAAUUGCCGUUGAAACGUGCAGUCUUGCUUACAGUAGCGGUGGGCUGUCUUCGUGGUGUCGCGGU
This 347-nucleotide ribosomal RNA is filed under the name uncultured bacterium. RNAcentral's name for it is "partial 16S ribosomal RNA". It matches the Rfam family "Bacterial small subunit ribosomal RNA", at positions 338 to 682 of the family's 1533-position model. The record is from RNAcentral.